RNAcentral lists this ribosomal RNA (575 nucleotides) under Aspergillus penicillioides. RNAcentral's name for it is "eukaryotic LSU rRNA". It matches the Rfam family "Eukaryotic large subunit ribosomal RNA", at positions 58 to 648 of the family's 3401-position model. Lineage: Eukaryota; Fungi; Ascomycota; Eurotiomycetes; Eurotiales; Aspergillaceae. The record is from RNAcentral.
AAAGAAACCAACCGGGAUUGCCUCAGUAACGGCGAGUGAAGCGGCAAAAGCUCAAAUUUGAAAUCUGGCCCUUCCGGGGUCCGAGUUGUAAUUUGUAGAGGAUGCUUCGGGUGCGGCCCCUGUCUAAGUGCUCUGGAACGGGCCAUCGGAGAGGGUGAGAAUCCCGUCUGGGACGGGGUGUCCGUGUCCGUGUGAAGCUCCUUCGACGAGUCGAGUUGUUUGGGAAUGCAGCUCUAAAUGGGUGGUAAAUUUCAUCUAAAGCUAAAUACAGGCCGGAGACCGAUAGCGCACAAGUAGAGUGAUCGAAAGAUGAAAAGCACUUUGAAAAGAGAGUUAAACAGCACGUGAAAUUGUUGAAAGGGAAGCACUUGCAACCAGACUCGCCCACGGGGUUCAGCCGGCUUUCGGGCCGGUGUACUUCCCCGGGGGCGGGCCAGCGUCGGUUUGGGCGGCCGGUUAAAGGCCCCCGGAAUGUAACACCCCUCGGGGUGUCUUAUAGCCGGGGGUGCCAUGCGGCCAGCCCAGACCGAGGAACGCGCUUCGGCACGGACGCUGGCAUAAUGGUCGUAAAUGAC